RNAcentral lists this unclassified non-coding RNA (114 nucleotides) under soil metagenome. Its description in RNAcentral is "partial internal transcribed spacer 1". The record is from RNAcentral.
AAGAUUGACCGAAAGGUCUUAUCUCUAUAUCCCUCACCUCUGUGAACUGUGGACCUCCGGGUCUAUUUAACAACAACAUCAGUGUAAUGAACGUAUAUAUCAUUAAACAAAACA